RNAcentral lists this ribosomal RNA (450 nucleotides) under uncultured bacterium. RNAcentral describes it as "bacterial SSU rRNA". It matches the Rfam family "Bacterial small subunit ribosomal RNA", at positions 29 to 526 of the family's 1533-position model. The record is from RNAcentral.
AGCGAACGCUGGCGGCAGGCUUAACACAUGCAAGUCGAGCGCCCCGCAAGGGGAGCGGCAGACGGGAGAGUAACACGUGGGAACAUACCUUUUGGUUCGGAACAACUGAGGGAAACUUCAGCUAAUACCGGAUAAGCCCUUACGGGGAAAGAUUUAUCGCCGAAAGAUUGGCCCGCGUCUGAUUAGCUAGUUGGUGAGGUAACGGCUCACCAAGGCGACGAUCAGUAGCUGGUCUGAGAGGAUGAUCAGCCUCACUGGGACUGAGACACGGCCCAGACUCCUACGGGAGGCAGCAGUGGGGAAUAUUGGACAAUGGGCGCAAGCCUGAUCCAGCCAUGCCGCGUGAGUGAUGAAGGCCUUAGGGUUGUAAAGCUCUUUUAACGGGGAAGAUAAUGACGGUACCCGUAGAAUAAGCCCCGGCUAACUUCGUGCCAGCCGCCGCCGUAACAC